CCUACGGGAGGCUGCAGUGGGGAAUAUUGGACAAUGGGGGCAACCCUGAUCCAGCCAUGCCGCGUGUGUGAAGAAGGCCCUCGGGUUGUAAAGCACUUUCAGUGAGGAAGAACGCCUGGUGGUUAAUACCCAUCAGGAAAGACAUCACUCACAGAAGAAGCACCGGCUAACUCCGUGCCAGCAGCCGCGGUAAUACGGAGGGUGCGAGCGUUAAUCGGAAUUACUGGGCGUAAAGCGCGCGUAGGUGGCUUGAUAAGCCGGUUGUGAAAGCCCCGGGCUCAACCUGGGAACGGCAUCCGGAACUGUCAAGCUAGAGUGCAGGAGAGGAAGGUAGAAUUCCCGGUGUAGCGGUGAAAUGCGUAGAGAUCGGGAGGAAUACCAGUGGCGAAGGCGGCCUUCUGGACUGACACUGACACUGAGGUGCGAAAGCGUGGGUAGCAAACAGGAUUAGAUAUCCGAGUAGUC
RNAcentral lists this ribosomal RNA (465 nucleotides) under Vreelandella stevensii. RNAcentral describes it as "partial 16S ribosomal RNA". It matches the Rfam family "Bacterial small subunit ribosomal RNA", at positions 338 to 795 of the family's 1533-position model. Lineage: Bacteria; Pseudomonadati; Pseudomonadota; Gammaproteobacteria; Oceanospirillales; Halomonadaceae. The record is from RNAcentral.